CCCCAAGCAAGGAAGGAAGGAGGCAGGCAGGCAGAGUGCCCCCCACAGCUCUCUGCAGCAGACCCUCUGCCCAGCCCAGCAUUUUCCAGCUCUGCAGACUUCUCUCACAGGACAACAGACAGUUGCAAUGUUGCUGUAAAUUUUUAAAAAUAUGACAAUGUCAGCAUGCAGGUCAUUGAGCAGAAAAGAAUAUAUUGAAGGAACCUGCCAUUGUCUUUAUACUGGGAGCAAUAUUCCAUCAUUUUAUGUAACAUCGUUUGAUCUAGUCAAACUAAAGUUCAUCUGCAAGGUGUAAAAGUCUUCCAGAUAAUUGUUGAGGUGAUUCCUGGUCUUGGAUGAAAGCAUGGAUGGAAAAGCAGUGGUAACAUGCCAUGUGUCAGUCAAAUGGACAACCUUCUCCUCUGUACAACCUUCAGGUUUUGAAGAUAAUCUAAAAUGAUGCUGCAACAUUCCAUGGUUUUUAUUUAAAAGAGUAAUUAUUAAUAUUUGAAGAAAUACUCUUCAGAAAGCAGGUAAGAAGCAAAUGCUGUUCCAAAUGCUGUUUUGGCAUAUAAAGAUUCAAGAAUGUGACAUCUCGUAUAGAUCCAAGGAUUGGGAGAAUCUAGUUCCUCUUGGAAUGGUUCAUCCAGGCAAGGCAGAAGGUAAAAGUUUGCUAGAAAUCAUAAGAUUCUGUAGGAUGUUUGCAACUCCAUUAUGAGCACCUUUUCUCUAAGAGCAAACCAGUUAUU
Molecule: long non-coding RNA, 728 nt
Organism: Hemicordylus capensis (graceful crag lizard)
Lineage: Eukaryota; Metazoa; Chordata; Lepidosauria; Squamata; Cordylidae
Exons: 3
Source: RefSeq, a predicted model, not a curated record